AGCAGCUGCGGUAAUUCCAGCUCCAAUAGCGUAUAUUAAAGUUGUUGUAGUUAAAAGCUGUAGUUGAAUUUCGGGUUCUACCAUUGAUCGGGCAAUAGCCUGUACUGGCGUGUGGAAUUCUACCUUCUGGGGAACCAUCAUGUUAUUUAUUUAGUGUGGUAGGAAACCAGGACCUUUCCUUGAAAAAAUUAGAGUGUUCAAAGCAGGCUUACGUCUAAAUAC
RNAcentral lists this ribosomal RNA (222 nucleotides) under uncultured Glomeromycotina. Its description in RNAcentral is "partial small subunit ribosomal RNA". It matches the Rfam family "Eukaryotic small subunit ribosomal RNA", at positions 569 to 802 of the family's 1831-position model. The record is from RNAcentral. Lineage: Eukaryota; Fungi; Glomeromycota.